CAGUCGCCGCGGGAAUACGUAGGUGGCAAGCGUUGUCCGGAAUUAUUGGGCGUAAAGCGCGCGCAGGUGGUUUAAUAAGUCUGAUGUGAAAGCCCACGGCUCAACCGUGGAGGGUCAUUGGAAACUGUUAAACUUGAGUGCAGGAGAGAAAAGUGAAAUUCCUAGUGUAGCGGUGAAAUGCGUAGAGAUUAGGAGGAACACCAGUGGCGAAGGCGGCUUUUUGGCCUGUAACUGACACUGAGGCGCGAAAGCGUGGGGAGCAAACAGGAUUAGAUACCCGUGUAGUCCCUGUCUCUUAUCA
Molecule: ribosomal RNA, 301 nt
Filed under: uncultured bacterium
Lineage: Bacteria
Description: partial 16S ribosomal RNA
Rfam family: Bacterial small subunit ribosomal RNA
Source: RNAcentral